Molecule: ribosomal RNA, 465 nt
Filed under: uncultured bacterium
Lineage: Bacteria
Description: bacterial SSU rRNA
Rfam family: Bacterial small subunit ribosomal RNA
Source: RNAcentral
UCGAGAAUCUUCGGCAAUGGGCGAAAGCCUGACCGAGCGAUGCCGCGUGCGGGAUGAAGGCCUUCGGGUUGUAAACCGCUGUCGUAGGGGAGAAAGGGUCGUUGAAGAAACGACUUUGAUCUAUCCUAGGAGGAAGUCCGGGCUAAGUUCGUGCCAGCAGCCGCGGUAACACGAACCGGACAAACGUUAUUCGGAAUUACUGGGCUUAAAGGGUGCGUAGGCGGUGCGGUAAGUGCGGUGUGAAAUCCCACGGCUCAACCGUGGAAUUGCGCUGCAUACUGCCGUGCUAGAGGGAGACAGGGGUAAGCGGAACUGAUGGUGGAGCGGUGAAAUGCGUUGAUAUCAUCAGGAACACCGGUGGCGAAAGCGGCUUACUGGGUCUCUUCUGACGCUGAGGCACGAAAGCUAGGGUAGCGAACGGGAUUAGAUACCCGGGUAGUCCCUGAGCGGGCUGGCAAGGCGCAU